GGAAACCGGGGCUAAUACCGGAUGGUUGUUUGAACCGCAUGGUUCAAACAUAAAAGGUGGCUUCGGGCUACCACUUACAGAUGGACCCGCGGGCGCAUUAGCUAGUUGGUGAGGUAACUGGCUCACCAAGGCAACGAUGCGUAGCCGACCUGAGAGGGUGAUCGGCCACACUGGGACUGAGACACGGCCCAGACUCCUACGGGAGGCAGCAGUAGGGAAUCUUCCGCAAUGGACGAAAGUCUGACGGAGCAACGCCGCGUGAGUGAUGAAGGUUUUCGGAUCGUAAAGCUCUGUUGUUAGGGAAGAACAAGUACCGUU
Molecule: ribosomal RNA, 318 nt
Filed under: Bacillus subtilis
Lineage: Bacteria; Bacillati; Bacillota; Bacilli; Caryophanales; Bacillaceae
Description: bacterial SSU rRNA
Rfam family: Bacterial small subunit ribosomal RNA
Source: RNAcentral